Molecule: ribosomal RNA, 497 nt
Filed under: uncultured bacterium
Lineage: Bacteria
Description: partial 16S ribosomal RNA
Rfam family: Bacterial small subunit ribosomal RNA
Source: RNAcentral
GAUGAACGCUGGCGGCGUGCCUAAUACAUGCAAGUCGAGCGAACAGACGAGGAGCUUGCUCCUCUGACGUUAGCGGCGGACGGGUGAGUAAAACGUGGAUAACCUACCUAUAAGACUGGGAUAAAUUCGGGAAACCGGGGCUAAUACCGGAUAAUAUAUUGAACCGCAUGGUUCAAUAGUGAAAGACGGUUUUGCUGUCACUUAUAGAUGGAUCCGCGCCGCAUUAGCUAGUUGGUAAGGUAACGGCUUACCAAGGCAAUGAUGCGUAGCCGACCUGAGAGGGUGAUCGGCCACACUGGAACUGAGACACGGUCCAGACUCCUACGGGAGGCAGCAGUAGGGAAUCUUCCGCAAUGGGCGAAAGCCUGACGGAGCAACGCCGCGUGAGUGAUGAAGGUCUUCGGAUCGUAAAACUCUGUUAUUAGGGAAGAACAAAUGUGUAAGUAACUAUGCACGUCUUGACGGUACCUAAUCAGAAAGCCACGGCUAACUACGUG